This 494-nucleotide ribosomal RNA is filed under the name uncultured bacterium. Its description in RNAcentral is "partial 16S ribosomal RNA". It matches the Rfam family "Bacterial small subunit ribosomal RNA", at positions 28 to 507 of the family's 1533-position model. The record is from RNAcentral.
GACGAACGCUGGCGGCGCGCUUAACACAUGCAAGUCGAACGGAAAGGCCUGCUUUCCCUUGUGGAUUGCGGGUACUCGAGUGGCGAACGGGUGAGUAACACGUGAGUGAUCUGCCCCCAACUUGGGUAUAAGCCUGGGAAACUGGGUCUAAUUCCCGAUAGGACUGCAGGGUGGUGCCUGUGGUGGAAAACGAUUUUCUAGUGGUUGGGGAUGAGCUCGCGGCCUAUCAGCUUGUUGGUGGGGUAAUGGCCUACCAAGGCGGGGACGGGUAGCCGGCCUGGGAGGGUGGACAGCCACAUUGGGACUGAGAUACGGCCCAGACUCCUACGGGCGGCAGCAGUGGGGAAUAAUGCACAAUGGGCGGAAGCCUGAUGCAGCGACGCCGUGUGGGGGAUGUCGGCCUUCGGGUUGUAAACUCCUUUCGACCGCGAGGAAGCCACCUGGUUGGAAGGGUGGUGACGGUAGUGGUAGAAGAAGCACCGGCUAACUACGUG